Molecule: ribosomal RNA, 380 nt
Filed under: uncultured crenarchaeote
Lineage: Archaea; Thermoproteati; Thermoproteota
Description: bacterial SSU rRNA
Rfam family: Archaeal small subunit ribosomal RNA
Source: RNAcentral
UAAAACCAGCACCUCAAGUGGUCAGGAUGAUUAUUGGGCCUAAAGCAUCCGUAGCCGGCUCUGUAAGUUUUCGGUUAAAUCUGUACGCUUAACGUACAGGCUGCCGGGAAUACUGCAAAGCUAGGGAGUGGGAGAGGUAGACGGUACUCGGUAGGAAGUGGUAAAAUGCUUUGAUCUAUCGAUGACCACCUGUGGCGAAGGCGGUCUACCAGAACACGUCCGACGGUGAGGGAUGAGAGCUGGGGGAGCAAACCGGAUUAGAUACCCGGGUAGUCCCAGCUGUAAACUAUGCAAACUCAGUGAUGCAUUGGCUUGUGGCCAAUGCAGUGCUGCAGGGAAGCCGUUAAGUUUGCCGCCUGGGAAGUACGUACGCAAGUAUG